GAUUAAGAACGUAGCGAAAUGCGAUAAGUAAUGUGAAUUGCAGAAUUCAGUGAAUCAUCGAAUCUUUGAACGCACAUUGCGCCCGCCAGUAUUCUGGCGGGCAUGCCUGUUCGAGCGUCAUUUCAACCAUCAAGCCCCCCGGCUUGUGUUGGGGACCUGCGGCUGCCGCAGGCCCUGAAAAGCAGUGGCGGGCUCGCUGUCACACCGAGCGUAGUAGAUCUCAUCUCGCUCAGGGCGUGCUGCGGGUUCCGGCCGUUAAACCACCUUCAUAACCCAAGGUUGACCUCGGAUCAGGUAGGAAGACCCGCUGAACUUAAGCAUAUCAAUAAGCGGAGGA
This 337-nucleotide unclassified non-coding RNA is filed under the name soil metagenome. RNAcentral's name for it is "partial contains 5.8S ribosomal RNA, internal transcribed spacer 2, and large subunit ribosomal RNA". The stretch from base 1 to 120 matches the Rfam family "5.8S ribosomal RNA", at positions 35 to 154 of the family's 154-position model. The record is from RNAcentral.